Molecule: unclassified non-coding RNA, 251 nt
Filed under: fungal sp.
Lineage: Eukaryota; Fungi
Description: partial internal transcribed spacer region
Rfam family: Eukaryotic small subunit ribosomal RNA (bases 1-46)
Source: RNAcentral
AAGUCGUAACAAGGUAACCGUAGGUGAACCUGCGGUUGGAUCAUUAAUAAAUUCUAGAGCAGUCUUGAGAUCGAGCAAUCGUGAUCAGGCUGUUUCUUAACAAUUCGUGAAUCGUUUAUUGUCUCUUGUGGAUGAGUUGUCUUAGGAUGCUCUCCACAUGUAACUCUUAACAUUGUAAUAUAACUAUUUGCCUUGAAAUUUUAAACCUAAAAAUUUAAAAACAACUUUUGACAACGGAUCUCUAGGCUCUC